RNAcentral lists this ribosomal RNA (548 nucleotides) under uncultured bacterium. RNAcentral's name for it is "partial 16S ribosomal RNA". It matches the Rfam family "Bacterial small subunit ribosomal RNA", at positions 356 to 895 of the family's 1533-position model. The record is from RNAcentral.
UGGGAAUCUUGGACAAUGGGGGCAACCCUGAUCCAGCAAUGCCGCGUGUGGGAUGAAGGCCUUCGGGUUGUAAACCACUUUUGGCGGGGGCGAAAUAUCGAGUGCUAAUACCAUUCGGUGAUGACGGUACCCGCAGAAUAAGCACCGGCUAACUACGUGCCAGCAGCCGCGGUAAUACGUAGGGUGCAAGCGUUAAUCGGAAUUACUGGGCGUAAAGCGUGCGCAGGCGGUUAGGUAAGACAGGUGUGAAAUUCCCGGGCUCAACCUGGGAACUGCAUUUGUGACUGCCUGACUAGAGUGCGGCAGAGGGGAGUGGAAUUCCGCGUGUAGCAGUGAAAUGCGUAGAUAUGCGGAGGAACACCGAUGGCGAAGGCAACUCCCUGGGCCUGCACUGACGCUCAUGCACGAAAAGCGUGGGGAGCAAACAGGAUUAGAUACCCUGGUAGUCCACGCCCUAAAACGAUGUCGACUAGUUGUUGGACGGGUUACUGUUCAGUAACGAAGCUAACGCGUGAAGUCGACCGCCUGGGGAGUACGGCCGCAAGGUU